CUUGGCGGAGGGAGACCGAGUGCUUCUGAUAAAGACGCGGGGUGUGACUCCACAACAGAGGAUGGAGCACGGCUGCCGUGGAGAUUCUGGCUCGGCCACUGUCACCUCUGGGAAUUCUCUCGGCAUGAGGGGUGUGGGGUGUGUGCUCUGGCUGGAAACAGCUGAGGGGUGGUAUGGAGAGGGGCAACCAAACACAGGCCGGGUCCAAUUCAGCAUGUCAUCAGCUGGCAAGAGAAGACCGGCCACUGCAGGUGGCUCUCAUAGUAAGGAGAGAGAGAGAAAGAGAGAGCGAGAGUGAGAGAGUGAGAGACAGAGAGAGAGAGAGUGAGAGAGUGGAAGAGUUGGGAAUAGGGAAAAGACUUUUGUGACUAAAUCAUUGUGUAGAUCAAGGGUAGCUAAAAAGCCUACUGUAUAGCAUACACACACUAACUAUACCUCCAAAGAAGUAUUUGAAAGAAGAGAGAAAAGUGUGCGAGAGAGACAGAGAGAGAGAAAUGAAUGAGAGGGAAGUGAGAAACACAGAAGGGGAUAAACGAGAGACUGAAAGCGACAGUACAAGUGGAACACACGGACGCAGAGACGGAGAGAUAGAGAAGGGGGGUGGAGAAACGAGAGGGAGAGUGAAUGACAACGAGAGGAAAAAACGAAGGGAGAACAGCCGUCCUUUCCCCGCGGGGCCAUCUCUCCUUUGAACAGCGCCGUUCCCCCCACGCGGGCAUUUCCUCCGCGGAGCACCACGCCUUCACCCUGCCAACCUGGCAACCCUCCGCGUGCUCCACGCAGCACCUCGCUAACUGGCACAGACAGCGGGCACGGCCGUGCCAGCUCCACCCGAGGCCAUGGGGGUUUCUGUCAGUGCCUGAGUGGAGAGGCUCCAGUGGUGGUUUGCCUCUGUCAGGGCUGGGGGCUGGUAGUGGCAACAGCAGUGCAAUAGUACAUCAGUUGGUGUUUGGAGACACUGCAGGAAGAGAGAGUCAGUGCAAUUUAAAUACGCCCGAGGGGAAUGUCUCUCGUCACAGCACGCAAGAUGACAUGGCGGAUAGUUGCUGUGCGGUCAAAGUUUUAUCCUAUUCUGGCACAUUUGUGUUUAUAAAAUGGACACUCAUAUUUUCCCUGUGCAUGUUUAAUGUUUUCCUUGCGAAUGUUCCCUAAAAAGAUGCCCUGCGGGGUCGAUAUACAUGAACAAUCAACAAUGUUAUACAUGACAAACAUGGACAGGAUUUUGGAUAUUUGUGAUUUGGUUUUUCUUCCACAGUCACCAGACUUCAGCUAAACGUGUAAAGCAUACCAUAAGGACUCCAAGAUGUUUUUAAAAAGGAGAAAUGGUAUAAUUUAGAAGUUUAUAGAAUUUCUUUUAAGACUUUAGGCUGUGACAUGGGCAAACAGCUUACAUAGCAAAUAUUUUGACCUUCAAUAAAAGCUAAGAAAGUUUUCUUGUGCAUAAGUAAUUUGAAAAAAAAAUUACUAUUUGAUAAAUAUUUCAAUAGAAGCAUUUUAUUUGUGAACUGUUUCAGACAUAGAUCUAUAUCCAAACACUAUGUAAAGCUCUGUGAUAAAAUGCAGUAAAGGAUUUGGCUUUGAUGGAAACGUUUCUAAAAAUAUCAUUUGGGAAUUUGCUGAUGGACUUGGUGCUAUAGCUCAAAUGCCGCUCACAGACGAUUUGUUUUCAUGAUCUUCUGUCACUGUAGAUGAGAAAUUCAUGUUUUUUUGCCCUUUGACUCUGUAUGGCAGUGUGUUUUACCUUUGGCUGCCUUGCUAUGUGUCCCUAUUCUUCAUGGUCUUCAAGACACCAGAGGUCAAAGAACCAGAUUAUACACCCAAUCCUGAAUUGAAGAAUUGUACCCCGAUUAUACAUUUUUUUUCCAUGUAUCCUUUUAAUCUCGCACUUGUAAAAUGUAAAAUGUAUUCAUUAACUUUGAAGAAAAUGCGUCUACUACAUUAAAAAUGUGUACUAAAUAUGUCACAAAACAGCUAGAAAAAGCUGGUACUGACUGUGGCUGUGGAAUCUGGCGUUGAUCCAGUGGAUCCAUAUCGCGGCCAGAUCUACUCCAGGGUUAGUUAGGAACUAAAAACGUACAGAUGUGUUAUCUAGAGGGCCUCCUCUCCUGGCAGUUCAAAAUCAAACCCCCCAAAAAUUCUUGUUUUUUUCUGCAGAAGUUACGGGAAUAAUCAACAGACAUUCUGGAAGCGCGUGGGCAUUUCAUGGAUCCGUGCAGUGCUCAGCAAACGCUAAUUGAUGGACACGCCGCGAGUCAGCCGGUCACAGUCUGCGGCUCUGGGAAACUGGACGCGCCAUGAAAGAGGGACCU
Clupea harengus (Atlantic herring) is the source of this 2309-nucleotide long non-coding RNA. Lineage: Eukaryota; Metazoa; Chordata; Actinopteri; Clupeiformes; Clupeidae. The record is from Ensembl.